RNAcentral lists this long non-coding RNA (665 nucleotides) under Brassica napus (rape). RNAcentral describes it as "long non-coding RNA (BNAP_LNC011215)". Lineage: Eukaryota; Viridiplantae; Streptophyta; Magnoliopsida; Brassicales; Brassicaceae. The record is from RNAcentral.
GAGUGCUUAAAUUUUGAGUAAGUUUCUUAAACUAAUAAGAGAGUGAUUCUUAUUGAUCUUUGAGUUCAUACAAGCAUACAUAGAUACUACUUUAUAUAAGUUCAAAACAAUUACAAAGUAGACAAAUAAAUCAUCUCUUCAAAAAAAUAUUUUAUAUUCGAAUUCUAGCUAACCUGCUGGACCGAACUAUACAAUCUAAUACUCCUUCCGUUUCGAUUUAAUUGUCGUUGUAGAGAAAAAAAUCGUUUCAAAAUAAGUGUCGUUUUAGAGUUUCAAUGCAAAAUUUAAUAAUAAGAUUAUCCACUCCAUUUUUCUAUGGGUUGAAAUACGGUUAGGUUAGGUGUAUAAGUAAUUGUGUUUUUAUAUUGAAAAUAUAUAAAAUCAUAUGUUUUAUUAAUUUGUGUGCAUAAACCUAGAACGACAAUUAAAAUGAAAUAGAGGGAGUAUAUAACAAGGAGGCACACUCCAAUGGUGCGCAUUUACACGUUCUCUUUUUAUUGGUUGAGUGUAUAUAUGUUGAAUACGUUUACAUACACGUGUACACAUGUACCUUUAUACAUUAUACAUAUACAUACAUUGUGAAUUUUUGAUCAUAAUAACAAUUUUGUGUGUAUAUAUGUUGGAGUCUUGGAGAAGAUGCGUUUUGAUUGAAGUAGGGUAUCUUG